GUGCACGCUCUGUUUACACAUCCACUCACACCUGUGCACCCUCCGUAGUUCUAUGGUCUGGGGGACCCUGUCUUCCUGCCGUGGUUCUACGUCUUUACACACACUCUGUAAUAAAGUCUUAUGGAAUGUAUGCCGCGUCUAACGCAAUACAAUACAACUUUCAGCAACGGAUCUCUUGGCUCUCGCAUCGAUGAAGAACGCAGCGAAAUGCGAUAAGUAAUGUGAAUUGCAGAAUUCAGUGAAUCAUCGAAUCUUUGAACGCACCUUGCGCCCCUUGGCUAUUCCGAGGGGCAUGCCUGUUUGAGUAUCAUGAACACCUCAACUCUCAUGGUUCGCCAUGAUGAGCUUGGACUCUGGGGGUUUUGCUGGCCUGCGGUCGGCUCCCCUCAAAUGAAUCAGCCUCCCAGUGUUUGGUGGCAUCGCGGGUGUGAUAAAUAUCUACGCUCGCGGUUGUCUGCCAGGUAACCUUUGGUGACAAAGGUUUGCUGGAGCUCACAGAUGUCUCUCCUCGGCGAGGACAGCUUUUUUGAACGUUCGAUCUCAAAUCAGGUAGGACUACCCCGCUGAACUUAAGCAUAUCAAUAAGGCGGAG
Molecule: ribosomal RNA, 592 nt
Filed under: uncultured Tomentella
Lineage: Eukaryota; Fungi; Basidiomycota; Agaricomycetes; Thelephorales; Thelephoraceae
Description: eukaryotic LSU rRNA
Rfam family: 5.8S ribosomal RNA (bases 156-310)
Source: RNAcentral